GUAUUUGUUUGCGCUGUUACACGCUCAUAUAACUUUAUAUACAUUCAAAGACUUUGUAGGUGUGUAUAAAAACAAUUCAUAGCGAGGGCCUUUCAAAGCCGUUUCCAGCUUUAACGAUCGUCCCAAGCUACAGGUUGUGCACAGGUGUGAGUGGAUGAGUGAUCAAGGUGUGCACAUGCCCCAAGGGGGGGCCAGCUACAACCCUUCUCGACGUUCAUUUCAUUAAUGAUCCUUCCGCAGGUUCACCUACGGAAA
This 255-nucleotide unclassified non-coding RNA is filed under the name uncultured fungus. RNAcentral describes it as "sequence contains ITS1". The record is from RNAcentral. Lineage: Eukaryota; Fungi.